UUUAGUCUCUUCGAUAGUCUCUUACUACUAGGAUACCCGUAGUAAUUCUAGAGCUAAUACUUGCGUAAACACUCGACUUUUGGAAGAGUGGUAUUUAUUAGAUUGAAACCAACCUGUUUCGGCAGUGUACUGGUGAUUCACAAUAACUUUGCGAAUCGCAUGGCUUUUGCCGGCGAUAGGUCGUUCGAGAUUCUGCCCUAUCAGCUUUGAUGGUAGUGUAUUGGACUACCAUGGCUUUAACGGGUAACGGAGGAUUAGGGUUUGAUUCCGGAGAGGGAGCCUGAGAGACGGCUACCACA
This 299-nucleotide ribosomal RNA is filed under the name uncultured eukaryote. RNAcentral's name for it is "partial 18S rRNA". It matches the Rfam family "Eukaryotic small subunit ribosomal RNA", at positions 111 to 414 of the family's 1831-position model. The record is from RNAcentral.